RNA transcript from Argentina anserina (silverweed cinquefoil), 2486 nucleotides. It is a transcript of the gene named DEAD-box ATP-dependent RNA helicase 20, with no coding region annotated. NCBI's taxonomy places the organism in Eukaryota, Viridiplantae, Streptophyta, Magnoliopsida, Rosales, Rosaceae. The record is from RefSeq and is a predicted model, not a curated record. The transcript has 9 exons.
UCUUCGUCUUGGCUUUCUUCCCCUCAGAUCGGUGAUUUCAAUUCUCCGGCAAUUCAAACCCCUAGAUCAACCGGAAGUCACAACUAUUACACGCGUCCUCCUUUUUCGUCUUCCGAUAUACUUCAGGUUUCCUCUAAACCUAACCGAUCAGAAAGCCCUAGAAAUCUUUCAAUCCGGUCAUUCAUGUACGCCUACGACAACCGUUACUCCGACUCCAACUCCUACCGCGAACGCCGAAGUGACCUAAUGGGUCCGGCGCCUGCGUCAGCACCGCCACCGAGCUACGGCCGUGGCGGUGGGGUGGCACCGUACAGGGGCCCAGCGCAUCCGUACGGUGGAGGCGCGGCUGGCGGAGAUAGGAGUGGGUACCCUCCUUUCCAGCCACCGGCGGGGCGGUUCAGCAUCGGCCGUGACGGAGGUGGGAGAGGCCGUGGCGGCGGGGGUAGGGGUUUUGAUGGAGGACGUGGGGGUGGUAGGAGCUCAGGUUAUAGUCGGGGAGGAGGGAGUUCGGGUUUCGGGGGUGGAAGAGGAGGUGGUAGACAUGGUGGUGGUGGGUCGGCGAGAGGUGACUUGGAUGGCAUUGUUCUUCCUAGGCAGGAUUUUGGGAACUUGGUUCCUUUUGAGAAGAAUUUUUAUAUUGAGAGCCCGUCGGUGAAGGCUAUGUCAGAGCAUGAAGUUGUGGCGUAUCGAGCCAGGAGGGAGAUUACGGUUGAAGGGCAUGAUGUCCCCAAGCCGAUCCAGACUUUUCGGGACGCAAGUUUCCCCGGUUAUUGCCUUGAUGUGAUUGCCAAGUUGGGUUUCGUUGAACCAACACCAAUUCAGGCUCAAGGAUGGCCUAUGGCACUGAAGGGUAGAGAUUUAGUUGGAAUUGCCGAGACUGGUUCCGGAAAAACCCUUUCAUAUCUGCUUCCAUCUCUGGUGCAUAUCAGUGCUCAGCCUCGAUUAGCUCCAGGUGACGGUCCUGUUGCGUUAGUGUUAGCACCUACUCGGGAAUUGGCAGUUCAAAUUCAAGAAGAAGCUGUAAAAUUCUGUUCAGAAAAUUAUAUUAGGAGUACAUGCAUUUAUGGUGGUGCUCCAAAAGGACCCCAAAUACGCGAUCUCAGAAGAGGGGUUGAGAUUGUGAUAGCUACACCUGGCAGACUUAUAGAUAUGUUGGAAGCCCAACACACAAAUUUGCGAAGAGUGACUUACCUAGUUUUGGAUGAGGCUGAUAGGAUGUUGGACAUGGGAUUUGAGCCGCAGAUAAGGAAAAUUGUAUCCCAAACCCGACCAGAUCGGCAGACAUUGUAUUGGAGUGCCACAUGGCCAAGGGAGGUUGAAUCUUUAGCAAGGCAGUUUUUACGAAAUCCCUAUAAGGUAAUCAUUGGAUCGGCAAGUUUGAAAGCAAACCAAUCCAUAAAGCAAGUUAUUGAAGUUGUGACCGAGUUUGAGAAAUAUAAUAGGCUGCUCAAAUUGCUAAAAGACUCUAUAAUUGGGAGCCGGAUUCUGAUAUUUGUGGAGACAAAAAAGGGUUGUGACCAUGUUACUAAGCAAUUGAGAAUGGAUGGAUGGCCAGCUCUGUCAAUUCAUGGUGAUAAAAACCAGGCUGAAAGAGACUGGGUCUUGGCUGAGUUUAAAAGUGGCAGAUCACCCAUAAUGACUGCCACAGAUGUGGCUGCACGGGGUCUUGGUAGGAUUACUGUAUGCUAGAAGUCUUAGGUGUCUUAUAAUUCGGGUCAUGAUUUUUAAAGGUUGCGAGUUGGCCGGCUGCUUUCCAGUUCCUAAGAAUUUAAUUUGUGGAUUGGGUGCGAAGGUGGCAUCAUAUCUGAUAAUUUGGGCUUCUUCUAUUUUGCUAUCUACUUCAGCAGGGGAAUAAGUUGGAUUGAGGAGCAGUAUUAAUUUCUCUUAUUUGCACAAUGUCCCCUGUGAUAGUAAUAUUGUGGGUGCUACCUUUUUCUGAAAGCUCAUGUUACAUGGACACCAAGAGCAAAGUUUCACUGGAAUAGGAAACUUCCUAAAAGUGUUUUGGGUGCUAUGCCAUUACAUCAUUAUGCAAGUUUGUAUGUUUCGUUGGUCAGGAAAAUUAUGUCCAAGGAUAGAUAUCACUUGUUUAUAUUAGAGGGACUGAAAUGGCAUGGCUGCUUCUUUUGAGUGUCUACGUAACAUGUGAAAGUUUGUCGUUGCCCAUCCACGGUUAUGGAGCUGGUUAACCUUGCAGCCCGGUUGACUCAUAUGCUUAUUCAUUUGAUUGGAUAUGGGAAGUGGUUCUGGUGAAGCUGCUCCUUAUCCCUGCUAGGUUAAGGUGGGCACAUUUGGUGAUGAAUGUUGUCUUCGAUUGUCUCAGGGAUGCAGGGAUAAGAUGUGAAGGACAUAAAAUGCGUGAUCAAUUAUGAUUUUCCAUCUAGCCUUGAGGACUAUGUCCACAGGAUUGGACGAACAGGACGUGCAGGGGCAACAGGAACUGCUUUGACUUUUUUCACAGAGUCAAAUGGUAAAUUUGCUAGAGA